Molecule: ribosomal RNA, 1045 nt
Filed under: uncultured Oryzihumus sp.
Lineage: Bacteria; Bacillati; Actinomycetota; Actinomycetes; Micrococcales; Intrasporangiaceae
Description: bacterial SSU rRNA
Rfam family: Bacterial small subunit ribosomal RNA
Source: RNAcentral
UCCUACGGGAGGCAGCAGUGGGGAAUAUUGCACAAUGGGCGAAAGCCUGAUGCAGCGACGCCGCGUGAGGGAUGAAGGCCUUCGGGUUGUAAACCUCUUUCAGCAGGGAAGAAGCGCAAGUGACGGUACCUGCAGAAGAAGCACCGGCUAACUACGUGCCAGCAGCCGCGGUAAUACGUAGGGUGCAAGCGUUGUCCGGAAUUAUUGGGCGUAAAGAGCUUGUAGGCGGUUUGUCGCGUCUGCUGUGAAAUUUCGGGGCUCAACCCCGAACUUGCAGUCGGUACGGGCAGACUAGAGUGUGGUAGGGGAGACUGGAAUUCCUGGUGUAGCGGUGAAAUGCGCAGAUAUCAGGAGGAACACCGAUGGCGAAGGCAGGUCUCUGGGCCACUACUGACGCUGAGAAGCGAAAGCAUGGGGAGCGAACAGGAUUAGAUACCCUGGUAGUCCAUGCCGUAAACGUUGGGAACUAGGUGUGGGCCUCAUUCCACGAGGUCCGUGCCGCAGCUAACGCAUUAAGUUCCCCGCCUGGGGAGUACGGCCGCAAGGCUAAAACUCAAAGGAAUUGACGGGGGCCCGCACAAGCGGCGGAGCAUGCGGAUUAAUUCGAUGCAACGCGAAGAACCUUACCAAGGCUUGACAUGUGCCGGAAAAGUGCAGAGAUGUGCUCCCCGCAAGGUCGGUACACAGGUGGUGCAUGGUUGUCGUCAGCUCGUGUCGUGAGAUGUUGGGUUAAGUCCCGCAACGAGCGCAACCCUCGUUCUAUGUUGCCAGCACGUGAUGGUGGGGACUCAUAGGAGACUGCCGGGGUCAACUCGGAGGAAGGUGGGGAUGACGUCAAAUCAUCAUGCCCCUUAUGUCCUGGGCUACACACGUACUACAAUGGCAACAACAGAGGGCAGCCAGGCCGCGAGGUCGAGCGAAUCCCAAAAUGUUGUCUCAGUUCAGAUUGCAGGCUGAAACUCGCCUGCAUGAAGUCGGAAUUGCUAGUAAUGGCAGGUCAGCAUACUGCCGUGAAUACGUUCCCGGGCCUUGUACACACCGCCAU